CCACAAUAGGCCAUCAGCAAGUUGAGGAGCAAGGAAGCCAGUCUGUGUCUUAAAGCUGAAGAACUUGAGUCUGAUGUUCGAGGGCAGGAAGCAUCCAGCAUGGGACAAGGAGGUAGGCUGGGAGGCUAGGUCAGUCUAGUCUUUUCAAAUUCUUCUGCCUGCUUUGUAUUUUGGCCACACUGGCAGCUAAUUAGAUGGUGCCCACCCACAUUGAGGGUGGGUCUGCCUUUCCCAGUCCACUGACUCAAAUGUUAAUCUCCUUUGGCAUCACCCUCACAGACACACCCAGGAACAAUACUUUGCAUCCUUCAAUCCAAUCAAGUUGACAGUUUUGUUUGAGACAGAACAAUGGACUGUAACAUCUGCUUCCCACGUUCAAGCAAUUCUACUGCCUCAGCCUCCUGAGUAGUUGGGAUUACAGGCCCCCACCACCAUGCCUGGCUAAUUUUUGUAGUUUUUUAGUAGAGACGGGGUUUUGCCAUUUUGGCCAGGCUGGUCUCGAACUCCUGACCUCAGGUGAUCUGGCCCCCUCCACCUCCCAAAGUGCUGGGAUUACAAGCAUGAUCCACCAUGCCUGGCUGACACUGAGGAUUAACAGUCACAGGUUGCAUGUUUACUUGUAUGCUUCAUACAUGUGAACCUAAUUUGCAUGCAUGUGGGUCUCCUUCUUGAAUAUUCAUAAAUCCUCCUAUCUUCUGUUUGACUAUGAAUACCCUACCACCACAUCAGGCAUACAUACCAGCUGGGGACUACCCAGGUCCACGUCCUGGACAUGUCGAGGCUUUUUCCAGAAGGCAGGUAUGAAGUCUGGUUUGACACACCCAAGUGACCCCAGAGGGUGUCAUAAUAGACUGGAAAGGUGACACAUCCCAGACACCUUCCACCCAUCACACACACCUCCCACCCACUGGCAUCCUUCCGCCCCAGGCACACACAAAGCCUCAGUCCAGAGAUCAACUGUCUUACCUCUGAAUUUGUAUAACUUGUGUGUAGACUCACUGAUCACAAUCUCUGCCCAGCCUGGCUUGUGCAUACUUCUUUCUUACUGUCAGGAGAGGAGCCCGUCCUGGCACUCCCAUUGGCCUAUAGAAUCACCUCCCCUGGGCAGGGCCCCAGGACCCAGGAUAAUACCUGUGCCUCUUGCCCAGAACCCUCCAAGCAGACACGAUGGUCAUUACUCUCUGACCUAUCUCUACACUGGGCUGUCCAGGCCUAGCAAAGGCACCCACAGGCUGCAGGGCACUGUCUUCCUCAAUGACGGUGCAUUCUUCCACUACAACAGUGAAGACGGGAAGGCUGAGCCCUGGGAUCAUGCAGACACGUGGAAGGAGUAGAGGACUGGGAGAAGCAGAACCAACUUCAGAAGGCCAGGGAGGACAUCUUUAUGGAGACCCUGAAUAACAUCAUGGAGUAUUACAACAACAGUAGUGGUCAGUGAACAACAGACCGCGGGGGUGGAAGGUCUAACCCAAGACGCAGCCCCCCAAGUGUGAGUCACAAGGGGUCAGCAGGAUGGAAAUAGUCCCAAUCCCAGCAGAGGAACAGGAGGCACAGCAGAAAUGCAGACAUGUCCACAUCCCGCCCACACCACAGCACAGGUGCUCCCCACUUCCCCAUCGAUUGCCCCAUCCUCAUCCCAGGCCUCAGCUCACACAGGAAGUGAUGGCAGAGUCACUUCCUAUCCAGGCACCUCUGACCUCUCACCUCCACAACUUACCCGUCAGAGGCUGAUCUCCCAGUGAGCAGGCAUCAGACUCACCCCUGUUCAGAGAGGUUGCCUGGAGAGUGAGCCGCUCUCAAAGUCAUUCAGACCUGGGCUCACCUGGUGGCUCCGCCAGUCCUAGCUGUUGACAGUGAAACAUUCC
RNAcentral lists this long non-coding RNA (1865 nucleotides) under Macaca mulatta (Rhesus monkey). RNAcentral describes it as "lncRNA (ENSMMUG00000057693.1)". The record is from RNAcentral. Lineage: Eukaryota; Metazoa; Chordata; Mammalia; Primates; Cercopithecidae.